Molecule: unclassified non-coding RNA, 329 nt
Filed under: soil metagenome
Description: partial contains 5.8S ribosomal RNA, internal transcribed spacer 2, and large subunit ribosomal RNA
Rfam family: 5.8S ribosomal RNA (bases 1-120)
Source: RNAcentral
GAUGAAGAACGCAGCGAAAUGCGAUAAGUAAUGUGAAUUGCAGAAUUCAGUGAAUCAUCGAAUCUUUGAACGCACAUUGCGCCCCUUGGUAUUCCGAGGGGCACGCCUGUUCGAGCGUCAUUAUAACCCCUCAAGCUCAGCUUGGUGUUGGGGCCUGCUGCACUGGCAGCCCUUAAAAUCAGUGGCGGCGCCAUCUGGCUCUAAGCGUAGUAAUUCUUCUCGCUAUGGAGUCCUGGUGGAUGCUUGCCAUCAACCCCCAAUUUUUCUAUGGUUGACCUCGGAUCAGGUAGGGAUACCCGCUGAACUUAAGCAUAUCAAUAAGCGGAGGA